This 894-nucleotide ribosomal RNA is filed under the name Natrinema sp. Its description in RNAcentral is "bacterial SSU rRNA". It matches the Rfam family "Archaeal small subunit ribosomal RNA", at positions 15 to 910 of the family's 1478-position model. Lineage: Archaea; Methanobacteriati; Methanobacteriota; Halobacteria; Halobacteriales; Natrialbaceae. The record is from RNAcentral.
UGCCGGAGGUCAUUGCUAUUGGAGUCCGAUUUAGCCAUGCUAGUUGCACGAGUUNAGACUCGUAGCAGAUAGCUCAGUAACACGUGGCCAAACUACCCUAUGGAUCCGAAUAACCUCGGGAAACUGAGGCUAAUGCGGAAUAGCGUUCAUCGCCUGGAGUGGCACGAACGCGAAACGUUACGGCGCCAUAGGAUGUGGCUGCGGCCGAUUAGGUAGACGGUGGGGUAACGGCCCACCGUGCCCAUAAUCGGUACGGGUUGUGAGAGCAAGAGCCCGGAGACGGUAUCUGAGACAAGAUACCGGGCCCUACGGGGCGCAGCAGGCGCGAAACCUUUACACUGCACGCGAGUGCGAUAAGGGGACUCCGAGUGCGAGGGCAUAUAGUCCUCGCUUUUCACGACCGUAAGGUGGUCGUAGAAUAAGUGCUGGGCAAGACCGGUGCCAGCCGCCGCGGUAAUACCGGCAGCACGAGUGAUGACCGCUAUUAUUGGGCCUAAAGCGUCCGUAGCUGGCCACGCAAGUCUAUCGGGAAAUCCGCGCGCUUAACGCGCGGGCGUCCGGUGGAAACUGUGUGGCUUGGGACCGGAAGACCAGAGGGGUACGUCCGGGGUAGGAGUGAAAUCCCGUAAUCCUGGACGGACCACCGGUGGCGAAAGCGCCUCUGGAAGACGGAUCCGACGGUGAGGGACGAAAGCUCGGGUCACGAACCGGAUUAGAUACCCGGGUAGUCCGAGCUGUAAACGAUGUCUGCUAGGUGUGGCACAGGCUACGAGCCUGUGCUGUGCCGUAGGGAAGCCGUGAAGCAGACCGCCUGGGAAGUACGUCCGCAAGGAUGAAACUUAAAGGAAUUGGCGGGGGAGCACUACAACCGGAGGAGCCUGCGGUUUAUUGAUC